Molecule: long non-coding RNA, 540 nt
Organism: Malus domestica (apple)
Lineage: Eukaryota; Viridiplantae; Streptophyta; Magnoliopsida; Rosales; Rosaceae
Source: RefSeq, a predicted model, not a curated record
UCUUCUUUCUACAAAUAUCAUCAUAACCUUUUUAUCUUUUCAACAUCAUUAUAUUAAUACUUUCUUUUCUUUUCUCCCCCACUUUCUUCUCGUGUCCACUCUCAUUUUUUAAAAGCCAUGUGAAUGCCAUUUGUUUAAAACCAGAAGCAGAGCAGCCGCGAGUUUUGGGGAGAGAGCAACGCAGAGAAGCAGGGAGAGAGGCCGAGAGUAUGAAUGACAGCAAAUGCUCUCCUUUGUUAUCAUGCAAAGGAGUUAGUCAGUAUGCAUCUAAGCUUAAGUUCUGGAGAUUUUUAGAUGGGUUGUCUUGUCAAAACUCGAAUUAUGAAGAUGAGUUAGUUGACAAGACAGGUGCUAGACGAGCUGAGUUUUGCCUAUUUUUGUACACUUUGUAAUGAUUUUGUAAUAUUUACUUGUAUAAGAGUUCUUAUUUUAUGUCUUUAGUUUUACUUUUAGAGCAACUCCACCCAUGGAGCCCUUCCCCCUGGUAAUCCACUAUUCAAUCCACCCUAUUGAACAGUAACUGCCUUAAAUAAACAGUAA